Molecule: non-coding RNA, 363 nt
Organism: Danio aesculapii
Lineage: Eukaryota; Metazoa; Chordata; Actinopteri; Cypriniformes; Danionidae
Source: the annotation of a RefSeq genome assembly
AUGACUCUCAUCGUCAUUUUCAUAUCAAUGCUUGCAGUAUUCCAUCAAGAAUGCAGAGGUCAAGUGACCGUCACUCAGACUCCACUAAUAACAGCACAACCAGGACAAGAUGUCAGAAUAAGCUGCAAAGCCAGCAGGCCGGUGCAUCUUAAUGACCACGUGGCUUGGUACCUCAGGAAACCUGGAGAAGCUCCUAAAAUACUCAUGUACCGCGCCACACAUCGCUUCAGUGGAGUGCCAUCUAAAGUGACAGGAAGUGGACACGGAGCCGACUUCACUCUGACCAUCAGUGGAGUCCAGCCUGAAGAUGCAGGACUUUACAUCUGUCAGAGCGACCACACUGGAGCGAUAGACACACGCUGA